This 45-nucleotide non-coding RNA is filed under the name Schistosoma mattheei. Lineage: Eukaryota; Metazoa; Platyhelminthes; Trematoda; Strigeidida; Schistosomatidae. The record is from RNAcentral.
ACCCAGCUGACGAGUCCCGAACAGGACGAAACGCGCGUCCUGGGU